This 594-nucleotide small RNA is filed under the name Arabidopsis thaliana (thale cress). Its description in RNAcentral is "ATSL043080". Lineage: Eukaryota; Viridiplantae; Streptophyta; Magnoliopsida; Brassicales; Brassicaceae. The record is from RNAcentral.
UAUUUUUUUUAAAGGGUAUGCAGUAAAGGGUCGUCUGACGGCGAAGGAUAUGCCACCAAUAGGCAUUGAAGAUUGUUAACAAGUAGACAGGAAAACCGAGACGAGACAGAUUUGAGAUGUUAGCAAGUCCGGUGGUUCCAGUUUAGCAGGAAAAUCAGGCAGCAACACCGGAGAAAAUCUCAGGCAAAGGGAAGCGAGAGGAGGAGAAAGCUUCCGACAAACCAUCAAGAGAGAGAAAUCUCACCGAAAACCGUUGGAAGAGCUUUAGUGACUGCUGGAAAGCUCGAGAGAGUUGAGACUGAACCGAUUAGGAGGGAGGGACGCCGGAGAAGCUUCGCCGGCCAGGGAAUGCUAUUCUGAAAUUCUUCAAGCGACGCCUCGUAAAUUGUGACUGGGAGAAAACUAGGGCGAACGCAACUUGAUUUCUAUCUCCAUUCUGAAAUUCUUCAAGCGGCGUCUCGUAAGUCUAUAGAAAAGUAUCUAAGGUUGGUCUUGAGUAUUUGAAUCUCACUGGUUCACUCGACGAGAAUACUUUGAACUAAUUUCACCGACUUAGGAUUCUUAGAGAAUUUUUAGUCAACCUAUUUUAUUACA